Molecule: ribosomal RNA, 430 nt
Filed under: uncultured Comamonas sp.
Lineage: Bacteria; Pseudomonadati; Pseudomonadota; Betaproteobacteria; Burkholderiales; Comamonadaceae
Description: partial 16S ribosomal RNA
Source: RNAcentral
CACGUAGUUAGCCGGUGCUUAUUCUUACGGUACCGUCAUGGCUCCAGGGUAUUAACCCGAAGCUUUUCGUUCCGUACAAAAGCAGUUUACAACCCGAAGGCCUUCAUCCUGCACGCGGCAUUGCUGGAUCAGGCUUUCGCCCAUUGUCCAAAAUUCCCCACUGCUGCCUCCGUAGGAGUCUGGACCGUGUCUCAGUUCCAGUGUGGCUGAUCGUCCUCUCAGACCAGCUACAGAUCGUCGGCUUGGUAAGCUUUUAUCCCACCAACUACCUAAUCUGCCAUCAGCCGCUCUAGUAGCACAAGGUCUUGCGAUCCCCUGCUUUCAUCCGAGAUCUCAUGCGGUAUUAGCUACUCUUCGAGUAGUUACUCCCCACUACUACGGCACGUUCCGAAUUGUACUUACUCCACCCGUUCGCCUACCGUCGUCACGC